CACGUUAUCUUUACCGGCGAUGUGGAC
Molecule: small RNA, 27 nt
Filed under: Bombyx mori (domestic silkworm)
Lineage: Eukaryota; Metazoa; Arthropoda; Insecta; Lepidoptera; Bombycidae
Description: ovarian small RNA-2550
Source: RNAcentral